Molecule: ribosomal RNA, 500 nt
Filed under: uncultured bacterium
Lineage: Bacteria
Description: partial 16S ribosomal RNA
Rfam family: Bacterial small subunit ribosomal RNA
Source: RNAcentral
AUUGAACGCUGGCGGAAUGCUUUACACAUGCAAGUCGAACGGCAGCACGGACUUCGGUCUGGUGGCGAGUGGCGAACGGGUGAGUAACAUAUCGGAACGUAUCCAAUAAUGGGGGAUAACUAAUCGAAAGGUUGGCUAAUACCGCAUACGCCCUACGGGGGAAAGCAGGGGAUCUUCGGACCUUGCGUGAAGGGAGCGGCUGAUAUCUGAGUAGCUAGUUAGGGAGGUAAAGGCUAAGCAAGGCGACGAUCAGUAGCUGGUCUUGGAGGAAGAACAGCCACAGUGGUACUGAGACACGGUACAGACUGCUACGGGAGGCAGCAGUGGGGAAUUUUGGACAAUGGGCGCAAGCCUGAUCCAGCCAUUCCGCGUGAGUUAAGAAGGCCUUCGGGUUGUAAAGCUCUUUCGCAAGGGAAGAAAACUUACUUUCUAAUAAAGAGUGAGGUUGACGGUACCUUGAUAAGAAGCACCGGCUAACUACGUGCCAGCCGCCGCCGUAA